GAUGCUGUGUAUCAUGGAUGCAAUUCCGGCUUCUUCUAUUGAACCUGGGGGUUUAGCCCCUACGCAAACAGAAUUUGUUCCAGUGAAUGUAGAUUCCUUCCCCUCCCUCCACUUUUUUAGAUCAAAAUCAACUCGCGUGGAUAAUUUCUCAUCCGGGCCUUUACCAAGUCCAAAAGAUGAAGUUCUAACUUUGAAGAACAAAGCUCCUAGGUGGCAUGAACAACUCCAAUGCUGGUGUCUUAACUUCAAUGGCCGGGUGACAGUCGCUUCUGUAAAAAACUUUCAGCUAGUUGCUUCUCUUGGGGAUGGAGCUGGACAGGAAAAUGACAAUGUUAUUCUCCAAUUUGGGAAAGUGGGAGAGGAUUUGUUCACCAUGGACUAUCAGUAUCCUAUCUCUGCAUUUCAGGCAUUUGCUAUCUGCCUCAGUAGCUUUGACACCAAAAUCGCCUGCGAAUGAUGAGAUAAACAGGUUCUGCAAGAAGUACUGAGGUGUUUGGAUUGGGAGAUUGCACUAACCCUAUUUACGUUGGUUACUGAACUAACGCUCAGUUAAAUUGCAGUAGGUAUGUUUGUUGUUGAGGAUUAAUCACCCGUUCUUCAUGCUCUCGGACCUUCCGUUUCUUGGUUUUUUGUAAAUAGACAAGGAUGUUUUUACAGUUUGGUUCAUCCAACUUUUCUAUUUCUAUUAGCACAAUGUUCAUCCAACUUUUCUAUUUCUAUUAGCACAAUGUUCAUCCAACUUUUCUAUUUCUAUUAGCACAAU
RNAcentral lists this unclassified non-coding RNA (763 nucleotides) under Hevea brasiliensis (rubber tree). Lineage: Eukaryota; Viridiplantae; Streptophyta; Magnoliopsida; Malpighiales; Euphorbiaceae. The record is from RNAcentral.